RNAcentral lists this small nuclear RNA (332 nucleotides) under Heterocephalus glaber (naked mole-rat). Its description in RNAcentral is "7SK RNA". It matches the Rfam family "7SK RNA". From Rfam's summary of the family: 7SK was discovered as an abundant small nuclear RNA in the mid-70s but a possible function has only recently been suggested. Two independent studies have found that 7SK RNA binds the CDK9/cyclin T complex (known as elongation factor P-TEFb). Lineage: Eukaryota; Metazoa; Chordata; Mammalia; Rodentia; Bathyergidae. The record is from Rfam by way of RNAcentral.
GGAUUUGAGGGUGAUCUGGCUGUGACAUCUGUCACCAAUUGAUCGCCACAGUUGAUUCAGCUGAUCUGGCUGGCUAGAUGGUUGUCCCCUUCCCUCCUCACUGCUCCAUGUGCAUCCCUCCCGAAGUGCACUUGGUCAAAGGGGAUAACAGACCACCCCUGAUAGAUCAAGACUGUUUCCUCCAUCAGGAGUAUAGGAGUAGCAGCACUACCUUGCAAGAAUCUCCAAACAAGCUCUCAGAAAUACAGGGCUCAAGAAAAUGUGGGAAUUCGAGGUUCUGAAUCACAUGUAACCAAAGAGUGUCUUCCUAGGUAUCAAGGUUACACUUCCUU